CUCAUUCAGUUCCAAUCUCAGAUCUCUCCAUCUCUAUUGCACCACGAUCUCUAGCAGCUCUCUCAAUCCUUGGUAUCUCAGUUAGCGAUAACUCGCUCUCUCUCUCAAAAACCUAGACCCAAAGCACACCGACCACUCAAAUCAGAAAUCCUUAUCUAUAGCAGAUCUCUCCUUACUACUCCUUUUGUCUCACAACUUCAAUUACCCGCUCCAACUUUUCUUCAACAUAUGCCCAGAAACCCUAAUCCCAAAACUCGCCCUAUUCGCUGUAGCAAAUUGAGAAUUCGUUUCAAAGCCGAAGGAUAUAAAUGGCUUGAUGACAUAAAGAAAAUGCAGUAGUAUGCGGUCCUUUCUUAGUCAAAUUGAGAGCUCCCUGCUAUAAUUUCUCUAGGCUUAACUUGAGGAAUCCCUCCCCUUGUCUCUUACUCAAGAUCAAAUAAUGCAUUUGUUUCAGGUAA
Molecule: long non-coding RNA, 458 nt
Organism: Rosa chinensis
Lineage: Eukaryota; Viridiplantae; Streptophyta; Magnoliopsida; Rosales; Rosaceae
Exons: 3
Source: RefSeq, a predicted model, not a curated record